UACGAGAGGCCCAAACGUUAUUCGGAAUUACUGGGCUUAAAGGGUGCGUAGGCGGUGGAGUAAGUCGGAUGUGAAAUACCAUAGCUUAACUAUGGAACUGCACUCGAUACUACUUUGCUAGAGUAAGACAGAGGUGAGUGGAACUGAGGGUGGAGCGGUGAAAUGCGUUGAUAUCCUCAGGAACACCGGUGGCGAAGGCGACUCACUGGGUCUUUACUGACGCUGAUGCACGAAAGCUAGGGUAGCAAACGGG
This 253-nucleotide ribosomal RNA is filed under the name uncultured bacterium. RNAcentral describes it as "partial 16S ribosomal RNA". It matches the Rfam family "Bacterial small subunit ribosomal RNA", at positions 524 to 776 of the family's 1533-position model. The record is from RNAcentral.